RNAcentral lists this ribosomal RNA (492 nucleotides) under uncultured bacterium. Its description in RNAcentral is "partial 16S ribosomal RNA". It matches the Rfam family "Bacterial small subunit ribosomal RNA", at positions 29 to 507 of the family's 1533-position model. The record is from RNAcentral.
AGUGAACGCUGGCGGUAGCCCUAACACAUGCAAGUCUAACGGCAUCACAGUAACACCUUGCUUUGAUGGGUGGCGAGCGGCGCACGGUUGAGGAAUCCAUCGUAAUCUACUUUUUCGUGUGGUAUAACGUAGGGAAUCUUACGCUAAUACCUCAGACGACCUUCGGUUGAAAGCUGGGGAUCUUCGGACCUUCCACGAUUGAAUGAGUCGAUCCCCGAUGGGCUGGUUGGCGGGGGAAAUGCCCACCAAGGCUACGAUCCCUAACUGGUCUUAGAGGAUGAUCAGGCCCACUGGAAGUGGGCCUCGGUCCAGACUACUAUGGCAGGCAGCAGUGAGGAAUAUUGGACAGUGGGUGCAAACCUGAUCCAGCCAUACCGCGUGGAUGACGAAGGCCUUCGGGUUGUAAAGCCCUUUUGUUGGGACAGAAAAGCAGCAGGUUAAUACCUCGCUGUGCUGACGGUACCCAAAGAAUAAGCACGCGCUAACUUCGUG